GGUUGUGGUGUUGGAAGCCAACUUUUGAGGACACUUCAUGGUCACUUACAGUAUCUGUUUGGCAGGUAUAGUCCAAUCUGUCCUACUAUGGAUGGGCAACUCCCCUGGCCAAAUCCCUUUGAAACAUCAUGGGGGUAGAAAUUUAUCUUUUUUUUUAAAGAAUGAAGACUUGGCUAAGUACAGGUCACAACAAAACAAGAUGAAUGGACAUGGUUAACAGAUAAACAAUAACUCCAUGGAAACAUUUAAAUCAAAAGGAAAACAUUUGGAGUUUUAGUGCCAUAAUCCUGCUAUGUAUAAGCCUCAGCCGAUGUACACUGAAAACAUAAAAAGCAAGGAAUCGAUCCUCAAUUUGCAACAUGAACUUGCUUUCAAUGCAAGGAGUUGUACAAUGCUUUAGGAAAUUCAUGUUACAUUUUCUUUUGUAACUAUUCUGUUUCUGCACCUUUGUCAUGCGGGUCAUACCUCAGGUCACCUAUUGUUCCAGGCAUGCAAAUGACCACUGUCCAAUUAUCAAAUUAGAGAGUCUGGUCGGGCUACCCUGACAUGGGUGCACUGGCACUGGCUC
Molecule: long non-coding RNA, 568 nt
Organism: Branchiostoma belcheri (Belcher's lancelet)
Lineage: Eukaryota; Metazoa; Chordata; Leptocardii; Amphioxiformes; Branchiostomatidae
Exons: 2
Source: RefSeq, a predicted model, not a curated record